RNAcentral lists this long non-coding RNA (3866 nucleotides) under Homo sapiens (human). RNAcentral's name for it is "non-protein coding lnc-CERKL-2:2". Lineage: Eukaryota; Metazoa; Chordata; Mammalia; Primates; Hominidae. The record is from RNAcentral.
AAACUGCUACACAACGGUGUUUUACCGCAAGAUUCUCAUACACAUGGCUUCAUCUUGAGCCAUGGGGCUUGGAAUCUAUUUAGAUCAAUACACAAGGCAGAAAGGACAAGACCCAGUUGCUGAACUGAAACAACUGAUUCCAUUGGUAGUCUCUCUAUCAGCACCAAACCUGGAAAUGCCACUCCUCAAGAAAAAGACCACCAAUCCAAGCACCUUUCUAAAAUCACUUAGUGGAGGCCUGAAUCUUGUAAGAAAACUAACUUAGAGUUUCUGCAUUUACAAAUAAAAUUUCUUUUCAAUGGAUAGGUGAGUAGAAGAGAGAGUACAUGAGAUCAUUCAAAAGACAGUCACCUAGACCAGAGACUAAGGUAGGGACCAUAUUAAAUAAUAGAUGGGUAAAUAGGUAUAUAGAUAGACAGAAAGAUACAUAGGUAUAAACAAAACCAUCUUAAUUCUUCUGAGAGUUGCUGGCAAGUGAAAAGAAUCAGUUUUGGCUCCAGAUGUAAAUAUGGGGAAAAAGAGAAAUUAUGUGUUGAAACUGACAGAUUGCUCACUUCAAAAAGAUGAAAUUUGUUAUAUUGUAACCCAAUGAGAGAGAAGUCAGUCUCUGGAGAGGUCAAUUCUAUUUGUUCUCAAGAAAUUCACUGAGAUUUGAAGGAUUAGUGUAGAAAGGAGUGUUAUUCAUGACAGGAAGCUUUUGGUAUUCUUCCUAAUACCUGAGGAACAGACCAAAUCUUCUUGCUUGUUCCUUUUUCAAUCCCAAAGCAGAUGUCGUCUCUCAGCUCUGCCCUGAUGUGCAAUUUUAUAGUUUUCCUGGGUCUCUAACUGGUGCUAUAAUAAAUUCAGAGUAAUUGUUACACACCUUUAACAGCUUCAAAACACAUUUAAGGUAUUUUCUUAUUAAUUAACUUUCUCCUCAUAUCAGCAAAAGCAGUUUGCUUUAAAAAGUUCCUUGGUAACAGUAGUCUAGUUUCUUGCCGUCACUCAGAAACUUGAGAAGAUUCUUUUGAUGUUGGUCUCUCAGUUUAGGAUGAAACUAGUGGAAAGAAGAUAGUGAAAGAGUAAGCGGAAUUGAGUGAUGGCAGCAUGAACUCAGCUGGGCCCCGUGGUCCUCAGCCCAGCCCUCGGCAGAAGCAGUGAAUUCAGCCAUAACUACAGCAGAGUCUGAUCAUUCUCCUGAUGAAAUUACACUGAUCUAAUUUGCACGCUGUGAAGACAUUUGGCACUGGCUGGAUCUGAGCCUUGACAUCUUCAUUGGAACUAAAAGUACACUAAGAACUGACAUUACGUUUCACAUUCUUUUCUGCCAGGCUGUGGCAUUUCAUCCUCUUUAAAGGCAUUAUUUCAAGAACAUUUAAUUUGGCUUUGAUAUGCCUGCCAUUUUGCUGGGUGGAACAUACUGCGCCAGAAAAGCUCAGCUGUAAUAAAGUUUGGCACCAACAGCUCACCAUAUACCUGCCUCUGAGUUGGAGUAAUUUCCUUAAUUUUAAUAUCACAAACAUUUUCUUUCCAUCAUUCUUUUCAUCAUGUGAUUCUGGAACUGAGCUUGGCAAAGCGUGAGUCUAAAGGUACUUCCAGUUUGCUUGGCUGGUUAGGCUAUGGUCCUUUGCAGUAUCAUUCAUGUCACUUAUUUACAGUGGUCCCUCUUAUCUGCAGUUUCACUUUCCGCAGUUUCAGUUACCUGCAGUCAAUGUAAGAUAUCUUUCUAUAAGACCUAAUGACUCUCAAAUCAGUCCAGGAUUCUUUCCCUAAACUCUCUUUUACUGGGCCAAUGUGGUAUCUAGUAACUACUACUACUAUUUGCAAAAGUAGGUAAGCGGCUUCCACUAACUAUGAAACAGUUAUCUAUUUCCAUAAAUGAUAGCUUGGCACCAAAUACAUUUAAAAUGUGAUGUGAUUUUUUUUCUUUUUCUUUUUCUUUUCUUUUUUUUUUUUUUUUCACUGUAAAAGAUCAAUAUUCUUUCUAGUCAAAUUCCAGAAAUAAAAAGAAGCCAAAGAAUGAGUUCAGUGAGAUCCUGGAUUUUCCCUUUCUCUACUUUUUCUGCAGAAAGUACGUUUUUGCUCUACUAGUUGUUAUUAGAAAGAAUAUCUAUUAUUCCAUAGAAUGUGAAAACCUUCUGUUUCAUUAAAAGACCACAGUUUAUAUUUUGUGAGAAGAACCUUAUCAAACUCCACAAGCACAGUUUCUUCAAAUUUUUCUCUGUGGCAUAAUAUCUACCUUCACUUGCCAAGAUUUUAACUCUAAUUUGUUUUCAUCUGUCUCCUCAAGGUAGUUUAUAAUUUAUUUAUAAGGUAUUUAUAGUUUAUUUUGUUUCUGUGUUAUGUAUGCUAGCAUUUUGUCUAGGAGCUCUUCAUUCUUCUAAAUAAACUGAAGCCAAACCAGACGUUCCUCAAGAGGUUUCUUAAAGUUUUGUUGUGUUUUCCUCUACCAUGUAGUAGUAAUAUUUUUUGCACACCUUUAGUGUAUUUGAAAGCACUCUAUAUUUUUAAGCCUACCUUCUCUCUCAAAAGACUAUAUAUUCUCCCUAGAAUACACUAUUUAUUUUCAAAUACACCCAUCCACUAUCACCACCACUGCACCUAAUACAUUCAUGACAUCAACUAGUGAUCCAACAAGUGUUUGUUGAAUUAUAAAAUGGAAAAAAAACAUUCUUUUGGUGGCCAUAAUUACAAGUGAAUUAUAAUUCUUGUAAUUAUUAUUAUACUUUAAGUUUUAGGGUACAUGUGCACAACGUGCAGGUUUGUUACAUAUGUAUACAUGAUCUUAAACAACUGUCCAUUAACAAGCCAACAACUGUCCAUUAACAAGCCCCUGAGCAUACUGCUUGGCGGACACAUUUAAAAUACAGAGAAGAGCCUGCUAAGACCUUGAUUUCAAUUACUCUGAAGUUUCUUGUGGGGUAACCUUAGAUGUCCAUGAGGAAAGGCCAUUGUAGUUAGUACAUUUUUUAUGACUAAUAAGAUUGAAGUACAUUAUCUAGUUGAGUUUUAGGUUUCAAGAGUUUAAAAAGGGUAAAGAUGUUAAACUUUACUACUAAGCAAAACCCUGGAGUACUAGAGAUUCCUCUCUGUAGAAACCUGUCUUGUCAAAAGUUUUUGAGUUGCUGUCUAAUAUCUAUACUUACUUUUAUCAGAACGAGAUGGAGUUUCACAGUUGUUGCCCAGGCUGGAGGGCAAUGCUGUGAUCUUGGCUCACCGCAACCUCCGUCUCCUGGGUUUAAGCAAUUCUCCUGCCUCAGCCUCCCGAGUAGCUGGGAUUACGGGCACACGCCACCACCCCGGCUAAUUUUUUUGUAUUUUUAGUAAAGACGGGGUUUCUCCAUGUUGGUCAGGCUAGUCUUGAACUCCUGACCUCAGGUGAUCCACCUGCCUCGGCCUCCAAAAGUGCUGGGAUUACAGGUGUGAGCCACUGCGCCUGGCCUGAUCUAGUUUCUUAUUGUACUAGAAUAAUCGUUAAUGUUCUUCACAAGUAAUACCAUUGAUGUUCAUCUUUAAAACAGUAAUAAGCUGGAAACCCUAUAAGGAUAUAAGUAACACACUUGUGAAUUAGCAAAACUUUUGUAUCUUCUCAAAUGAAAAUCACUACAAAAUCUUUAUCUUGUCUCAGCUUGAGUUUAGAACUAACAUUCCUAAAUUAUUCUGUUUAAAGUAAGAACAGAUAGGUGCUUGUGAGGUCUCAUCUCCAUGACAUCUGACAGUGGCUUUGGGUGUUGCCUAAAGAGAAAGCAGCAAGCAACAGUUACAGAGGUGACAAAGAAGCCAUUUUGCUUUUAGUUAAACACCAAAUGCCUUAAAUGAAGUCUUCAAGUUUAAUGUUAAAAGAUACCAAAUCAUAGAAUUUCAUUAGGAAGACUACAAGUUAAAUG